RNAcentral lists this transfer RNA (72 nucleotides) under Camelus bactrianus (Bactrian camel). It matches the Rfam family "tRNA". Rfam says of the family: Transfer RNA (tRNA) molecules are approximately 80 nucleotides in length. Their secondary structure includes four short double-helical elements and three loops (D, anti-codon, and T loops). RNAcentral also lists the same sequence under 1 other name. Lineage: Eukaryota; Metazoa; Chordata; Mammalia; Artiodactyla; Camelidae. The record is from Rfam by way of RNAcentral.
GAGGGUACAGCUCAGUGGUAGAGUGUGUGCUUAGCAUGCACAAGGUGCUCGGUUCAAUCCCCAGUACUUCCA